GAGAGUGCGCCAAAGUUGGAGAGUUGGGGCAGACUGUAAAUCUGUUGCUUCGGCUGAGUAGGUUCGAAUCCUACCACUCUCA
Molecule: transfer RNA, 82 nt
Filed under: Crassvirales sp.
Lineage: Duplodnaviria; Heunggongvirae; Uroviricota; Caudoviricetes; Crassvirales
Description: tRNA-Tyr
Rfam family: tRNA
About the family: Transfer RNA (tRNA) molecules are approximately 80 nucleotides in length. Their secondary structure includes four short double-helical elements and three loops (D, anti-codon, and T loops).
Source: RNAcentral